AUGACUUCUGUGGCCUGUUCUGGAACUGUUCAGUUUAGCUUCAGUCCAAGAACCAGACCAUAGGUGGGAACCAGACGCCAUGGACCAGCAGGGCGACUGCAGGACACUGACACCACAUCCCAGCUCCAGACCUCGGGAGAAGCCGAGCCAGCUAAAGAAAGAACUCUAAAUCCAUCACCUUCUCCACAACAAAAAGAAUUCCACGAGCCUCUCAAAAAAUAAAGCCAAGCAGCUGAAAACAGGGAAAAUCAGCACCACAGUAAAUACAUGAGCACAGAAAGUUCAUGGAAAAAAGUCUAUUAUUAUGGUGGAAGAUGAAUAAGAUUGUGGAAGCAGAGUCAGAAUCACUGAAAAUGUAGGUAAAUUGCAUACCAAUUCUAUGUUGUAUGUGGAAUAACAAUGGAUGAAUACAUCCUGCCAUGGUUUUAUUAUUUGUUUGCUAAUAUAUUUUUGCUUUGAAUUUACUGAACUGGAAGCUCUGAAUGAUUACAAACCACCCUAUACAAAAGUAAGUUAUCCUUUGAAAAACAAGUAACUGGAAAAUAUUUGUUUGGUUUACUUGGGUUUUUUUGUUUGUUGUGGUUUUGGGGUUUGCUGGGUUUUUGUUGUUUUUUUCUUAAGGGUAGUAUCUUAAAAGUUAUUGUCUUGUUAUUGAGAUUUUAACAUGGAUGAGACUUAGGAUUUUAUAAAGGAAAUUACAAUUUUCUCAUUUGGACCAAUAUGCCAAACAGGCUCCAUAACCACAUUCCUACUUAUAUGAAUGUUACAAUUGCCUGUUGCUGAAAUGAGAUAAACUGAAGAUGCAUUUUUCUUCCAUGCCAAAUAAACUGUGACUCAAAAGUG
Molecule: long non-coding RNA, 843 nt
Organism: Parus major (Great Tit)
Lineage: Eukaryota; Metazoa; Chordata; Aves; Passeriformes; Paridae
Exons: 2
Source: RefSeq, a predicted model, not a curated record